Molecule: ribosomal RNA, 460 nt
Filed under: uncultured bacterium
Lineage: Bacteria
Description: partial 16S ribosomal RNA
Rfam family: Bacterial small subunit ribosomal RNA
Source: RNAcentral
CCUACGGGUGGCAGCAGUGAGGAAUAUUGGUCAAUGGGCGUAAGCCUGAACCAGCCAAGUCGCGUGAGGGAUGAAGGUUCUAUGGAUCGUAAACCUUUUUUAUAAGGGAAUAAAGUGCGGGACGUGUCCCGGUUUGUAUGUACCUUAUGAAUAAGGAUCGGCCAACCCCGUGCCAGCAGCCGCGGUAAUACGGAGGAUCGGAGCGUUAUCCGGAUUUAAUGGGUUUAAAGGGUGCGUAGGCGGCCUUUUAAGUCAGCGGUGAAAGUCUGUGGCUCAACCAUAGAAUUGCCUUUGAAACUGGGAGGCUUGAGUAUGUUUGAGGCAGGCGGAAUGCGUGGUGUAGCGGUGAAAUGCGUAGAGAUCACGCAGAACCCCGAUGGCGAAGGCGGCCUGCCAGGCCAUGACUGACGCUGAUGCACGAAAGCGUGGGGAUCAAACAGGAUUAGAUACCCCUGUAGUC